AUUGAACGCUGGCGGAAUGCUUUACACAUGCAAGUCGAACGGCGGCACGGACUUCGGUCUGGUGGCGAGUGGCGAACGGGUGAGUAAUGUAUCGGAACGUGCCCAGUCGUGGGGGAUAACGUAGUGAAAAUUACGCUAAUACCGCAUACGAUCUAAGGAUGAAAGCGGGGGAUCGCAAGACCUCGCGCGAUUGGAGCGGCCGAUAUCAGAUUAGGUAGUUGGUGGGGUAAGGCCCACCAAGCCAACGAUCUGUAGCUGGUCUGAGAGGACGACCAGCCACACUGGAACUGAGACACGGUCCAGACUCCUACGGGAGGCAGCAGUGGGGAAUUUUGGACAAUGGGCGAAAGCCUGAUCCAGCCAUUCCGCGUGCAGGAUGAAGGCCCUCGGGUUGUAAACUGCUUUUGUACAGAACGAAAAGGUUUCUACUAAUACUAGGAGCUCAUGACGGUACUGUAAGAAUAAGCACCGGCUAACUACGUGCCAGCAGCCGCCGUAA
RNAcentral lists this ribosomal RNA (499 nucleotides) under uncultured bacterium. Its description in RNAcentral is "partial 16S ribosomal RNA". It matches the Rfam family "Bacterial small subunit ribosomal RNA", at positions 30 to 523 of the family's 1533-position model. The record is from RNAcentral.